Gossypium arboreum is the source of this 423-nucleotide long non-coding RNA. RefSeq lists it as uncharacterized. NCBI's taxonomy places the organism in Eukaryota, Viridiplantae, Streptophyta, Magnoliopsida, Malvales, Malvaceae. The transcript is spliced from 3 exons. The record is from RefSeq and is a predicted model, not a curated record.
AAUGGGGAGGAGAUACUGUUGUGGAUGGUGGACUUUAAGGCCAUGAGGCUCCCCGUCAGAUCCUAAACCACCAGACCCGUUGCAGAUGUAGAAUUGCUACUAUCGAACGCUGCAUCGAAAUAGACCGUCGUUCUCGAACCAUAUGAGCCAUAAAGCAUAACAAAAAAGUCUACAUUGGAUGUCGUUACCUCUCUUGAAAACCUAGGAAAGUCACGGAAGAUAUAGAGGCUGUCUUCUACCCAAGAACAACCUCGGGGGCAUCUAUCAUUAGAAAUUACUCUUCUGUACCGGAGAUUAGCAAAAUUCGGAAUAAAAUCCCAAGAGAUUUUCCAAAUAGUGAUUGCAAUUUUAGGGGGUAGCUGUAGGCCCCAUAGCUCCUUGUAAAAUUCUUUCAUUUCGGUCUGUAAUAAAUAAUUCCUAGGA